AUUGAACGCUGGCGGAAUGCUUUACACAUGCAAGUCGAACGGCAGCACGGACUUCGGUCUGGUGGCGAGUGGCGAACGGGUGAGUAACAUAUCGGAACGUAUCCAAUAAUGGGGGAUAACGAGUCGAAAGAUUCGCUAAUACCGCAUACGCCCUACGGGGGAAAGCUGGGGACCUUCGGGCCUGGCGUUAAUGGAGCGGCCGAUAUCUGAUUAGGUAGUUGGUGGGGUAAAGGCCCACCAAGCCAACGAUCUGUAGCUGGUCUGAGAGGACGACCAGCCACACUGGAACUGAGACACGGUCCAGACUCCUACGGGAGGCAGCAGUGGGGAAUUUUGGACAAUGGGCGAAAGCCUGAUCCAGCCAUUCCGCGUGCAGGAUGAAGGCCCUCGGGUUGUAAACUGCUUUUGUACGGAACGAAAUGGUUUCUACUAAUACUAGGAGCUCAUGACGGUACUGUAAGAAUAAGCACCGGCUAACUACGUGCCAGCAGCCGCCGUAA
RNAcentral lists this ribosomal RNA (500 nucleotides) under uncultured bacterium. RNAcentral's name for it is "partial 16S ribosomal RNA". It matches the Rfam family "Bacterial small subunit ribosomal RNA", at positions 30 to 523 of the family's 1533-position model. The record is from RNAcentral.